This 370-nucleotide ribosomal RNA is filed under the name uncultured organism. Its description in RNAcentral is "partial 16S ribosomal RNA". It matches the Rfam family "Bacterial small subunit ribosomal RNA", at positions 527 to 896 of the family's 1533-position model. The record is from RNAcentral.
GUAGGGUGCAAGCGUUAAUCGGAAUUACUGGGCGUAAAGCGUGCGCAGGCGGUUUUGUAAGUCUGAUGUGAAAUCCCCGGGCUCAACCUGGGAAUUGCAUUGGAGACUGCAAGGCUAGAAUCUGGCAGAGGGGGGUAGAAUUCCACGUGUAGCAGUGAAAUGCGUAGAUAUGUGGAGGAACACCGAUGGCGAAGGCAGCCCCCUGGGUCAAGAUUGACGCUCAUGCACGAAAGCGUGGGGAGCAAACAGGAUUAGAUACCCUGGUAGUCCACGCCCCUAAACGAUGUCUACUAGUUGUCGGGUCUUAAUUGACUUGGUAACGCAGCUAACGCGCGAAGUAGACCCGCCUGGGAGUACGGUCGCAAGAUUA